This is a non-coding RNA of Callorhinus ursinus (northern fur seal), 246 nucleotides long. The record is from RefSeq and is a predicted model, not a curated record. Lineage: Eukaryota; Metazoa; Chordata; Mammalia; Carnivora; Otariidae.
GGGAAGAUUCAGAGCAAGACUGAAACUCAGUGAUCUGCAGUCUUCUGUUUACCCUUGACAAUCCAUUUUCUCCACAGAACCUUCAUGCUUUGUAGAAAAGGCAGACUUAAUUAGUGUUGAUCCAAUGCUGUAAGAAUUCUCUUGGGACUACGUCCAUGUCUUUGUGGGAACCUCAUAGUAUCAUUCCUGUUUCACUUGGAGUGUCUUGCAUAAAAAUUAAAUCCAAAUCUAAAAAAGCAGAUAAAC